UAACCUGCCCAAGAGAUCGGGAUAACACCUGGAAACAGAUGCUAAUACCGGAUAACAACAGAUGAUGCCUAUCAACUGUUUAAAAGAUGGUUCUGCUAUCACUCUUGGAUGGACCUGCGGUGCAUUAGCUAGUUGGUAGGGUAACGGCCUACCAAGGCGAUGAUACAUAGCCGAGUUGAGAGACUGAUCGGCCACAUUGGGACUGAGACACGGCCCAAACUCCUACGGGAGGCAGCAGCA
This 240-nucleotide ribosomal RNA is filed under the name uncultured Lactobacillus sp. RNAcentral's name for it is "partial 16S ribosomal RNA". It matches the Rfam family "Bacterial small subunit ribosomal RNA", at positions 122 to 355 of the family's 1533-position model. Lineage: Bacteria; Bacillati; Bacillota; Bacilli; Lactobacillales; Lactobacillaceae. The record is from RNAcentral.